Molecule: long non-coding RNA, 797 nt
Organism: Culex quinquefasciatus (southern house mosquito)
Lineage: Eukaryota; Metazoa; Arthropoda; Insecta; Diptera; Culicidae
Exons: 2
Source: RefSeq, a predicted model, not a curated record
CUAACGAAUACAGACUCAAUGUUCUGUGAUUACUCCGUAAACUUACGGAAAAGAGUUUUGUUUUACGAACGAACGUAUACCAUUACUUCAGAUACAUCUGAAAAAGAAUCAUUCAGUACUUUUCGUAACUGAUUUUAUCCAACUUAACUUACAUUCAUUCAUCAUGCAUACACACAUUCACACACGCAUACGUACAACAAAAUUUGGGCGAACAAUAAGCUUUUUCCUACUACGAGCUUUUUCUAAACAAUUCUGUCGAUCACACACUUUCCGACAGGGUUUUUCUGUUUGACGGAUCUUCUCGAGAACUGUCACUGUCUGAAUGUUGUUUAUGUUUAACAAGUGAAUGCUGAUGGCUGUUCUGUACUUUAACUUUAAAAAUAAUGAAAUUGACCUGUUUUUACGUAUUUAUUGUUCCUGAAACUAUUGUAAAUUUUUACUAUUUCACGUGUAGGAUGUUAUUUAAUUGUUUUAUUUCAAUUCAUUAUCGAAUUAUGGACCAAGUCGGAGACUGCUUAUCAAUGAAGGGGAACACUCGAGGUGACAUCGCGACAUUGUAAGAGAAUUGGAGACGAAAUUUAUCAAUGACUAAUUCCUGCCUGUUUAAGGUCAACUUGGACCGAGACCAACGACGAUCAAUGGACUGACUCGACAUGAAUCGACGUGGCGAAACCGUAGCACCUCGAACUGAGUGUUUUUGUUAGGUUUACGUACUAGUCUUUACAUCUUCGGUGUAGAUAGUAAUCAUAGCUAUUAAAUCCUUUUUCUAAAAAAUAAACCGUGAUGCAUUCUGGAAA